This 253-nucleotide ribosomal RNA is filed under the name uncultured bacterium. Its description in RNAcentral is "partial 16S ribosomal RNA". It matches the Rfam family "Bacterial small subunit ribosomal RNA", at positions 524 to 776 of the family's 1533-position model. The record is from RNAcentral.
UACAGAGGGGGCAAGCGUUGUUCGGAAUUACUGGGCGUAAAGGGCGCGUAGGCGGCCUGUUAAGUCGAACGUGAAAUCCCUGGGCUCAACCCAGGAACUGCGUCCGAUACUGGCAGGCUUGAAUCCGGGAGAGGGAUGCGGAAUUCCAGGUGUAGCGGUGAAAUGCGUAGAUAUCUGGAGGAACACCGGUGGCGAAGGCGGCAUCCUGGACCGGCAUUGACGCUGAGGAGCGAAAGCCAGGGGAGCAAACGGG